Pelobates cultripes (western spadefoot toad) is the source of this 824-nucleotide non-coding RNA. NCBI's taxonomy places the organism in Eukaryota, Metazoa, Chordata, Amphibia, Anura, Pelobatidae. The record is from the annotation of a GenBank genome assembly.
CUCACACCUGAUCCCUGUAUUGCUGUUUUAUUCUUGUUUUAUUGAGGAUAAAGAUAUUAACAAUCAGACAUUGCGGAGAAUGCAUACACAGUCAAUAGUAAUACAUAUAUGAGCAUGGUAAGUAUGUCAUUCAGAGACAGCGAGGCUCAGUUUUGUUUAUUUUAAAGUAAAGAAUCAGUAAGUAACAUGCUGGUUUCAAGAUGGAAAGCCUCAGGCUGACAGCAUAACAAUAGUACACUAUAUCUAAGUAAUGAGAUGCAGAUAUAUACCAAAAUUAAGAAACAAAAAUUUAAGGAGAGAAGAGAUGAUGCUUGGAUAUGUGUCACAAAAGGUGCUGCUGAACAGGGGGGGUGAUCAGUCCUCUGCCAAACUCAGCUAUCCUACGGGUAGCAUGAUGGUUGCACUGCCCACAGAAACUUGGUGCCAGGAUCGGGUGCCUCUGCAGCCCCAGGCUUUGAUUAGGACUGGCAUCUGUGUGCCACAGGCUGGGUUAGCAUUAUAGUCCAAGACUAUCCCCUUUUGAGGGUGGUCGGAGGAUCAGGCUGACAGGCGCUGCUUAAUGCGGACAGUCCUCUUCCAUGGUGGGUAUAAGCUCAUGUGGUCCUCGGCCUAGGUGAGUGAGGAACAGGAUGCACAGGUUUUCCCAAAGCUUUUCACCAUGAAUAGGCCCCUUUGUCUCUGGCAGCUUGUCUCCCCAGGCUCUGCCCCUUUGCUCGAUUUUGGUAGUUGCUAUACGUUGCUGGAGUGUGAGCCAGAAGCGAUUGAAAUGGGGGUCGAGCCGCAGUUGGAACUCCGCAAUAGCGUUGCUGGGAGCCUUCUGGAGG